This 1369-nucleotide ribosomal RNA is filed under the name uncultured bacterium. RNAcentral describes it as "bacterial SSU rRNA". It matches the Rfam family "Bacterial small subunit ribosomal RNA", at positions 28 to 1381 of the family's 1533-position model. The record is from RNAcentral.
GACGAACGCUGGCGGCGUGCCUAAUACAUGCAAGUAGAACGCUGAAGAGAGGAGCUUGCUCUUCUUGGAUGAGUUGCGAACGGGUGAGUAACGCGUAGGUAACCUGCCUUGUAGCGGGGGAUAACUAUUGGAAACGAUAGCUAAUACCGCAUAACAAUAGGUGACACAUGUCAUUUAUUUGAAAGGGGCAAUUGCUCCACUACAAGAUGGACCUGCGUUGUAUUAGCUAGUAGGUGAGGUAACGGCUCACCUAGGCGACGAUACAUAGCCGACCUGAGAGGGUGAUCGGCCACACUGGGACUGAGACACGGCCCAGACUCCUACGGGAGGCAGCAGUAGGGAAUCUUCGGCAAUGGGGGCAACCCUGACCGAGCAACGCCGCGUGAGUGAAGAAGGUUUUCGGAUCGUAAAGCUCUGUUGUAAGUCAAGAACGAGUGUGAGAGUGGAAAGUUCACACUGUGACGGUAGCUUACCAGAAAGGGACGGCUAACUACGUGCCAGCAGCCGCGGUAAUACGUAGGUCCCGAGCGUUGUCCGGAUUUAUUGGGCGUAAAGCGAGCGCAGGCGGUUUGAUAAGUCUGAAGUUAAAGGCUGUGGCUCAACCAUAGUUCGCUUUGGAAACUGUCAAACUUGAGUGCAGAAGGGGAGAGUGGAAUUCCAUGUGUAGCGGUGAAAUGCGUAGAUAUAUGGAGGAACACCGGUGGCGAAAGCGGCUCUCUGGUCUGUAACUGACGCUGAGGCUCGAAAGCGUGGGGAGCGAACAGGAUUAGAUACCCUGGUAGUCCACGCCGUAAACGAUGAGUGCUAGGUGUUGGAUCCUUUCCGGGAUUCAGUGCCGCAGCUAACGCAUUAAGCGCUCCGCCUGGGGAGUACGACCGCAAGGUUGAAACUCAAAGGAAUUGACGGGGGCCCGCACAAGCGGUGGAGCAUGUGGUUUAAUUCGAAGCAACGCGAAGAACCUUACCAGGUCUUGACAUCCCGAUGCUAUUUCUAGAGAUAGAAAGUUACUUCGGUACAUCGGUGACAGGUGGUGCAUGGUUGUCGUCAGCUCGUGUCGUGAGAUGUUGGGUUAAGUCCCGCAACGAGCGCAACCCCUAUUGUUAGUUGCAAUCAUUCAGUUGGGCACUCUAGCGAGACUGCCGGUAAUAAACCGGAGGAAGGUGGGGAUGACGUCAAAUCAUCAUGCCCCUUAUGACCUGGGCUACACACGUGCUACAAUGGUUGGUACAACGAGUUGCGAGUCGGUGACGGCAAGCUAAUCUCUUAAAGCCAAUCUCAGUUCGGAUUGUAGGCUGCAACUCGCCUACAUGAAGUCGGAAUCGCUAGUAAUCGCGGAUCAGCACGCCGCGGUGAAUACGUUCCCGGGCCU